This 346-nucleotide unclassified non-coding RNA is filed under the name soil metagenome. RNAcentral describes it as "partial contains 5.8S ribosomal RNA, internal transcribed spacer 2, and large subunit ribosomal RNA". The stretch from base 1 to 119 matches the Rfam family "5.8S ribosomal RNA", at positions 35 to 154 of the family's 154-position model. The record is from RNAcentral.
GAUGAAGAACGUAGCGAAAUGCGAUACGUAAUGUGAAUUGCAAAUUCAGUGAAUCAUCGAGUCUUUGAACGCACAUUGCGCCCCCUGGUAUUCCGGGGGGCAUGCCUGUCCGAGCGUCAUUGCUGCCCUCAAGCACGGCUUGUGUGUUGGGCCCCGUCCUCCGAUCCCGGGGGACGGGCCCGAAAGGCAGCGGCGGCACCACGUCCGGUCCUCGAGCGUAUGGGGCUUUGUCACCCGCUCUGUAGGCCCGGCCGGCGCUUGCCGAUCAACCCAAAUUUUUUAUCCAGGUUGACCUCGGAUCAGGUAGGGAUACCCGCUGAACUUAAGCAUAUCAAUAAGCGGAGGA